Molecule: ribosomal RNA, 600 nt
Filed under: uncultured bacterium
Lineage: Bacteria
Description: bacterial SSU rRNA
Rfam family: Bacterial small subunit ribosomal RNA
Source: RNAcentral
AGGCCUAACACAUGCAAGUCGAGCGGCAGCACAAGUGAGUUACUUAUGAGUGUGGCGAGCGGCGGACGGGUGAGUAAUGCCUAGGGAUCUGCCCAGUCGAGGGGGAUAACAGUUGGAAACGACUGCUAAUACCGCAUACGCCCUACGGGGGAAAGGAGGGGACCUUCGGGCCUUCCGCGAUUGGAUGAACCUAGGUGGGAUUAGCUAGUUGGUGAGGUAAUGGCUCACCAAGGCGACGAUCCCUAGCUGUUCUGAGAGGAUGAUCAGCCACACUGGGACUGAGACACGGCCCAGACUCCUACGGGAGGCAGCAGUGGGGAAUAUUGCACAAUGGGGGAAACCCUGAUGCAGCCAUGCCGCGUGUGUGAAGAAGGCCUUCGGGUUGUAAAGCACUUUCAGUAGGGAGGAAAGGGUGAGUCUUAAUACGGCUCAUCUGUGACGUUACCUACAGAAGAAGGACCGGCUAACUCCGUGCCAGCAGCCGCAGGUAAUACGGAGCGGUCCGAGCGUUAACUCGGAAUAUACUGGGCGUAAAGGCGUGCGCAGGCGGGUNGNAAAAGCGAGAAUGGUGAAAGCCUUGAGGCUCAACCUAGGAAUAGC